UUUACCUCCUAGGAUUACUUCAUUAAGAAAAAAUAACCAACAUGCAAAAGUCUUGUGACGAAAACGAAGGAACACCCCAGAACACUCCAAAAGCAGAUGAAGGCCAUCCUUCAGAAGAUCCACCACAGCAGGCAGGAGAAAAUCUUCAGGCUUCUGGAGAAAAUGUGAGAGAGGAAACUGAUGGAAGCCUUCGAGGAGAGCCUGCUGAACCCAGCCCAGAGCCUAAAGAGGACACUCCUGCAAGGCAUCUGAACCCUGAAGAAGUGAUAAGAGGAGUAGAUGAGUUGGAAAGGCUUAGGGAAGAGAUAAGAAGAGUAAGAAAUAAGUUUGUGUUGAUGCAUUGGAAGCAAAGACAUUCCCGAAGCCGUCCUUACCCUGUGUGCUUCAGGCCUUGAAAUCGUUUUUUUCUCUAUUGAAAUGUGGCUGCUGCUUUCUUUCUCUUAGCAUUUUUCUGAUGUAUCUUUGAACUUCAUUUUACUUUUAAUAAUAAUUACCUGGCGGUAUUUUCUUUUAGGUAGUUUCGUUGUUACCAGCAUCUCAUUGGAUUUUGGAUUUUUGACCCAUUUUCCACGUUUAUCUUUCAGUUGGAAAGUUUCACACUUAUGCAUGGAAAUAUACAAUUAAACAGCAGAUUGAAAAGCAGCAUAUUUAGGAUCAGCUCACAUAUAUAGGAAAAUUCCUAAUUAUGUGUGUACAUGUAUAAUUAUACGUAUCAAAAAACUUAACUGCUUAUUUUUGGUGUGGUGUGUUUUAAUUUUGCCUUUUGCUUAUGUUGAUUUUUUUAAUGAAUACAUGUCUCAAAGAACUGCAGAUUUUUUUAAUAAGUGGGAGUUAAUUAAAAUUAAUUUGUAACCAGCUUGUAGAGGCAAUAAAGGCACUAAACUCCUGAUGAACUAUUAAAAAGAAAUGUAAACCUGGAAUUACCUCUGGAUUUCUUAGCCAGAGGAAUAAAACUGGCAAUCAUUAUAGAC
RNAcentral lists this long non-coding RNA (971 nucleotides) under Rattus norvegicus (Norway rat). RNAcentral's name for it is "long non-coding RNA NONRATT030662". Lineage: Eukaryota; Metazoa; Chordata; Mammalia; Rodentia; Muridae. The record is from RNAcentral.